This 82-nucleotide transfer RNA is filed under the name Coniochaeta pulveracea. It matches the Rfam family "tRNA". Rfam says of the family: Transfer RNA (tRNA) molecules are approximately 80 nucleotides in length. Lineage: Eukaryota; Fungi; Ascomycota; Sordariomycetes; Coniochaetales; Coniochaetaceae. The record is from Rfam by way of RNAcentral.
UCUCUGUUCGUAUAGUGGUUAGUAUGUGAGCUUGUCAUUCCAUACAUCGCUCGAGACCGGGGUUCAAUUCCCCGACAGAGAG